GCCCGCUUGGCUUAGUGGUAAAGCGCAUCACUAGUAACCUGUUCUAGUGUUAUGAUGAGAUCACUGGUUCGAUUCCAGUAGUGGGCA
Annulohypoxylon nitens is the source of this 87-nucleotide non-coding RNA. Lineage: Eukaryota; Fungi; Ascomycota; Sordariomycetes; Xylariales; Hypoxylaceae. The record is from the annotation of a GenBank genome assembly.